UACAGAGGGUGCAAGCGUUGUUCGGAAUUACUGGGCGUAAAGGGCGCGUAGGCGGCCUUGUCAGUCAGGCGUGAAAGCCCCGGGCUCAACCUGGGAACGGCGCUUGGGACGGCGAGGCUGGAGUUCGGGAGAGGAGAGUGGAAUCCCCAGUGUAGAGGUGAAAUUCGUAGAUAUUAGGAAGAACACCAGUGGCGAAGGCGGCCCACUGGAUCGGUACUGACGCUGAGGUGCGAAAGCGUGGGGAGCAAACAGG
Molecule: ribosomal RNA, 253 nt
Filed under: uncultured bacterium
Lineage: Bacteria
Description: partial 16S ribosomal RNA
Rfam family: Bacterial small subunit ribosomal RNA
Source: RNAcentral